Molecule: long non-coding RNA, 1903 nt
Filed under: Fragaria vesca (wild strawberry)
Lineage: Eukaryota; Viridiplantae; Streptophyta; Magnoliopsida; Rosales; Rosaceae
Description: long non-coding RNA (FVES_LNC002248)
Source: RNAcentral
CUGUGACUAGCUCUUUUUACCCAAAUUCCUCACAGAGCCAAACCCUUGCUUUUGCGGAGGCGAACUCUCCUUUCCCAAAUCCCACUUCUCUCGUGGAGUCUCGGAGAUCUAAACCCUCGCGUUUUCCGAUCUGCUUCUCUUCGUCCUCCUCAUGUCUCUCUCUGAGUUCGACUCGAUCCCGACUCAGUCUUGAGUGACAUCGAAAGGUCUUGAGCUACAAGUUUAUGGGUAGGUAUGAUUAGCCAUUGUUAUCCUCCAUUGCCGAUUCUAUAUUUGAUUUUUAUUUCAACUGCGUUUAAAUUUCUUUUAUCUGUCAAUUUUCAGUUCUUUUUAUUUCUUUGGUUAAAAUAUCAAUUGUUGUAAUUGGGUUCAAGAUACUUGUUGUCAGUCUCGGUGUAUACAUUGAGCACAUACUAAAUGAUCAAAUCUCUUAUUUAUCCCACUCGUCUGUAUGAGAAAAGAUUCCAAGUGCAAUACUUCCGUCAUUCCAAGUGCAAUACUUCCAUCAGAGGAAUACUGAAAGCCAUUCUCUUUAUGAGAGUUAAUUUGACUUUGAGAAACGUUCACAUAAAACAUACAUUAAGGAAGGACUAAUAUCUGUCUUUGGAACCAUAUUCUUCUGUUUCAUCUUUUAGGUAUAUUUGUCCAUGAAAGAAUGGUAAUCAUUAUUCCCUUAUGAUAUGCAUACAUACUUGAAUUUGUUGUGUUGUUAUUCCCAAGCCUUUACAAGUUUAUAUAGCAGUAAUUUGGUUCAAGAUUUCGAAUAUCAGUGAAAUGAAACUAAGGUAAGGAACAAAAUCUUAUGAACUAAAAUACCCUGGACUCCUAGUAUCUAAUUUUUACGAAUUAAAAUAUCCUUGUACAUUCUAGGUAUCUAAUUUUGUUCCAUGUCUUGUACUUCAGUUAAAUAGGACCAGUUUGUGCUUUUGAAUAUAUUUUUACUGUUAUACUGCUAACUUUAUCUUUUAUCUUAUUGGAAUCUGUUGGUCUUUGUGUAGCUUUUAACUAAAAGUUCCCGGUAUUUGAUUACAGAAGUUGGUUACUUGGUUAUAAUUUAUAAGUUACUCUAUUGCAGGUUAAUGGAUAAUGCAGAUUGUACAAACUUAGGCAAUCAGCCAACAAGUGAUUUGAAAGACUUAGAAGGUGAAGAGCAGUUUGAGCAUUCUAAUCAUAGUGAGGAGGCGAUUGAAGAGGUAAUUCUUGGAAAAGAGUUUCUGGAUGUUAAGAGUGCAAGGAAGUUUUAUAUCAAUUAUUGUGGCAAAAAUGGCUUCAAUGUGAGUAAUUGAAUUGGUAUUUUGUAGGAACCGUUGACAUAAUUUAGUUCAUUAUCACAAGAGAAAGAACACAACAUACACUGAGGAGAUUGAGUUCAAGAUUAUAUUUGGAAAUUUUUUGAUCAUUGAAAGAUCGGACAAAUAGAGAUUGUCAUUGUUAUUUUGUUAGUCCAUUUUUGCAAGAGAUGAGAUUUUGUCAUUUUUGAGAAAGAAAGGGAUUCUGUAACUCAUCAUUGACAUGAAAAAAGAAAAAUUCAUGACACUGCUUUCUCUAGAAAAAAUUGGUAUUUGAGGACUUAUUUGCUCUUCCAGACUGUUUAACAGCUAUUGCUAUUAACACUAUAGAGUUUACUGUAAGUAGAGAUAGUUUGAGCUUCAAGUUUGUGUUCACAAUAUAUUGUUUUACUGGUAAACAUUAAUGGUCAUUAAUCUCUUAUAUGAUAGCACGAGGCAAUUCUCAGAUUUGUAAUUCUCAUUGAUAGAAGGGAGAAAUACAAUUUAGUACCUGACAACAUUUCAUUUAGCAAUUCAAUCCACAACAAUUUCACUUAUACAAUUUAGUCCUAAUCCAAUAAUUUUUAUUUUUUUUAUUUUUUAUUUUUUUACUUUACCUUACCUAGUAAUUUUUU